Molecule: ribosomal RNA, 498 nt
Filed under: uncultured bacterium
Lineage: Bacteria
Description: partial 16S ribosomal RNA
Rfam family: Bacterial small subunit ribosomal RNA
Source: RNAcentral
AUUGAACACUGGCGGCAUGCCUUACACAUGCAAGUAGAACGGUAACAGGUCUUCGGAUGCUGACGAGUGGCGAACGGGUGAGUAAUACAUCGGAACGUGCCUAGUAGUGGGGGAUAACUACUCGAAAGAGUGGCUAAUACCGCAUGAGAUCUACGGAUGAAAGCAGGGGAUCGCAAGACCUUGUGCUACUAGAGCGGCCGAUGGCAGAUUAGGUAGUUGGUGGGAUAAAAGCUUACCAAGCCGACGAUCUGUAGCUGGUCUGAGAGGACGAUCAGCCACACUGGGACUGAGACACGGCCCAGACUCCUACGGGAGGCAGCAGUGGGGAAUUUUGGACAAUGGGCGCAAGCCUGAUCCAGCAAUGCCGCGUGCAGGAUGAAGGCCUUCGGGUUGUAAACUGCUUUUGUACGGAACGAAAAGCUCUGGGUUAAUACCCUGGGGUCAUGACGGUACCGUAAGAAUAAGCACCGGCUAACUACGUGCCAGCCGCCGCAGUAA